RNAcentral lists this non-coding RNA (26 nucleotides) under Cricetulus griseus (Chinese hamster). The record is from RNAcentral. RNAcentral also lists the same sequence under 1 other name. Lineage: Eukaryota; Metazoa; Chordata; Mammalia; Rodentia; Cricetidae.
ACAUAUUGGACUAUUCACAUCACUCC